ACAAUUACAUUUGGGUCUAAUCCCCUAGAAAACCCAGGAGGAAGAUACACUGCUGGAAGCGAGUGAUAAAAACCAGACCUCUUCAAAGAUAGUAUGUAUGUGUGUUUAUAUAUGUAAUAUUAUGUGUAUGUGUAUGUAUACAUCCAUAUUUAAAAUAUUAUAAUGGCCUACAGGCUGUGGUCUGGCCAGUUCUAGCAAUAGCUGUUCAUGGGAAGGCCAAGAACCUGGCAGUUGUUCCAUCCACGAGGCUGGUUGUCUCAGCUGGGCUCCCAGAGAAGUCAUGACUUUGCUAGGGAGCGUGAGGGCAAGCUGGCAGAAGGCAUGACCUAGAUUUAGGGAAGACCGUCUUCCGUCUUCAGAUGAUCCAAUCAAGAAGAACCCCUUGCAGGUGUGCCGUGCCCUGUGUGGGUUUCAGUUGACUCCAGGUGCAGUCAUUGACAUAGGGAUCCGCAGGCAACUCGGCCUUGCAGGGCUGCUUACCAGAGUUGAUUGUUUACUGGCAGAGGGCAUGGGACCUUAAUCAGAUCAGAUUCAUCUUGUGAUUUUCCACUAGGAGGGACACACCGUGUGUUUUUGCUGAAGCUUGGUGCCCAGACUCCCACAACCUGAAGGUGGUCAAGAAAGUCUUCCAACUUGGCCAGCAGUUACACUCCCAAGUUGCAGAGAUCACGGCACAGCACCAUUUGUGAAGUCUGAGGGACGAUCAGGACCCACUGUUCAAAAAGAAACCUUUUGAAGCACAAGAAGAAACCUCCUCAACACCGUAUUUAGCUGUAGGAAAGUGAGUAUUUGUUUAACCAAACAGAUCACAAAGUUGCAAACACUGGAUUUACAAGACAGAUGGUGCACACUUGGCCAUGUAUGUGACACAGUAUAUGAGACACUAAAAAUGGCAGGACAACAAUUAAGCCAGAGGACAAACACUACAAGUGAACAAAGCCACCAAAAUUCAAAGCAGCAGCAAGCAUCAGUUGUUGAGAAAUGUAAAUCAGAGCAACUUAGGCACAGAACACCUCACUCCCCAUGUAGGAGGCUCCUCUUCAAGCUGGGUGGAAGAGCUCAAUGCCAACAGGCCCAGCGGCAUGCUGACACACAACUGCUUUGACCCACGUCUGCUCUGUCCCACCUGCAGGACAUCCUGUGAUGGAAAUGUUGGUCUAGGAUGAACGCCUAGGAGGCUGCAGGACAGGACAGGUCAGAGAGUAAAGUGCAGAAGGAGGACCUGAGUUUGGACCCCUAGCUGUAGUGUAAAGUUUGUCACAAUGGCGCACAUCUAUAAUCCCAGCCAGGGGUGGGCUGGGGAGGAGGACAGGGGAUCCUGGGGACAUGCUUGCCCACGAGCCUGGCUGAAAUCAGUGUAGUGUUGACCACAUGUGUAGACACAGGCUAACAGUGGGCAUGUGUACACACACAUGAAGACAAGCCAGAGGGGAGGUCACUCAGUCUUGUGGCAAUAGAGAAGGAGGUACAGAGCCCAUGAUUCUGAAGUUCAGAGCCGGCAGAAGUUGGCACAACUUUCACCAGAUUCUGAAAUACAUUUUAAACUCGUUCUUGCCAUCCAUGCUCAAAAAGCUUUAAAUAGUUUUUAUUCACCCUCACAAGUGUCUUGUUCUUUUCAUGCUCCUUGUCCCAACAGCAUCUUCAGAUGAAGUAAGCACAAGGAUGGGCAGCCCCAGCUGUGACCGUGUGGCCAAUGACGGGGGCACAGCACAGAACAGCCGCCUCCCCACUUUCAGGGCCUGCUGCAUUUUUCUGUUUAAAUGAGUGCCCAGUGCUCAGGCAGGAGGAGACGCUGGGCAGAUGGGCUGACACGGAAGCCACGUGGCUGUGCUCUGGAGUACACGAGAGCGUGCAAGUCCACUGGUAAGAUCCUUACUCUGCUAAUGUCAUCGGCAGUAAAACUGACAGCUCAGCGCACACUGUCUGCAGCUCAGAGCCUAGAGGGUCCUGACUGUUGUCUAUGCUCGGCCCAGGGACUGG
This 1980-nucleotide small RNA is filed under the name Rattus norvegicus (Norway rat). RNAcentral describes it as "uncharacterized LOC103694249". Lineage: Eukaryota; Metazoa; Chordata; Mammalia; Rodentia; Muridae. The record is from RNAcentral.